Rhododendron vialii is the source of this 1204-nucleotide long non-coding RNA. RefSeq lists it as uncharacterized. Lineage: Eukaryota; Viridiplantae; Streptophyta; Magnoliopsida; Ericales; Ericaceae. The transcript is spliced from 2 exons. The record is from RefSeq and is a predicted model, not a curated record.
CAUGCUAUUGUUGUUUAGCUUAUGAUAUGUGAGAGUUUGAUUCAUAGAUGUUGUUCUAUAUUGAAUUGAACUUGAAUGUUGGCUUAGUGCCCGAUGAUUGGCUUUAUGCCAAAAGGCUUUUAUGCCUUAAAUUAUUGGCUGUGUGCCCAGUGAUUGGCUUUAUGCGAUAUGGCUUUAUGCCUUAAACUAUUGGCUGUGUGCCCGGUGAUUGGCUUAAUGCCAAAAGGCUUAUGCCUUAAAUUAUUGGCUGCUUAUCUGGUGUUACUUUUUUAUUUCUCGAUAAACUGUUGACAAGUUGAGAUUAUCUUUUAGCUGUUGGAUAUUACUGUUAUGUUGUAUUUGGAGGAUGUGGUGAUUAUAUCUGUUACGUACAUUUGAGUAUCUCAGAUAUGUUGAGAAUUUAUAUUUUGGUUGUUAUUUAUUCGGUUGUUGCUAUAUUUUGUUGAGCAUUUCUAUAUCUCACACACUCUGGCUUUCCUUUUUGGUCUGCCAGGUAGCAGGUUGCGUAGAGUGGGUCCACUACCGGUCAACGUGUUGAGAAGUGUUUGGGCUAGCGUCAGAUGAUGUGGAUAAGCGAGUUGGUUGUAGGUUGUGAGGUGUGGUUCAGUUUUUGGUGUGGAAUGUCACGUGGUCGCGUCGACUCGGGCCCACAUUGGGUGCCGUUUGCGGGGCGGGGCGUGACAAGUCCGUUGGGCAAGUGGCAGCUGGGAUGCAAGUGAUAGCCCGAUGAUUAUUGGGGCAUGGAUGCUAAACGGGAAGCUAGCUUGUGGGACAAUGCAAUCAGAAAAUGGCUAAGUAUUUGGAGCUGGGUUGGAUCACGAAAUUGGCCAGGCAGCCUUGAUUGGGAUCAGGCAAAACGGUUAUUGACGGUUACUACAUUCUGCACAAGUCGCUGGCAGGCAGGGACAGGUGUCCCCAGCAGAAUCGGGCAGUUAUUAGCAGUUAUUGCCAGGCAGUUUUACUUUCCUAUGUGCUGGCAGCUUGUGGCUGUGCCAGCACAACCCUAGGGCAGUUGGGGGUGUCAACUGCAGAUCAUGGGGCCACCCCAUGAUCCCAUUUCACUUAGUGGCCACGUUUUAUUGAUUGUAGCCUUAUAAAGGCACUGCAUUUUCGAGUCUAAGGCAGAGGGAUGUUCUGUCUAGUACUCUAAGUGUUUUCCUUGUAUUGUCGGUGCAAUAAAAGGUUGGGAACGGGUUCCUGUAAA